UCAGUGACAGUGCGAACGUGAUUCACGUCCUCAGCAGGUCAUUGGCGAACGAGGGAUGCCAGGACAUGAAUCACGCUCACCCUGUGAUUCGUUCAUGAUUUGCGAACAUGAGCAUGAUUUUACUGUGCACAGAGGACACUUUCAUUCAUAAUUUUAUUGCAUAUAUACCACUCAGAGCAGCACUGCGUCUCCCGCGAAUGAUUGCGCACCGUCCCUGAGUAAGUGAACGUGAACCUAAGGGCUGAAUUAUUAACUAAAUGACGGAUCGUUUGGCUGCUUAUCAGUUCAGGGAGUUGGAGAGCACUGAACGAUUCGGUGAACAAAUCUUUUGAACAAAUCAUUUUAAUGAACGGAUUCUAGAGAUUCAGUGCAGUAAAAAGAACUGCCGUUCCCAUCACUAAUCAAUGUAGAUCAGGAGGAGAACAAGUGUUGGCUGAUUUGUAUUGACAGAUUGUCACACUCCACAGCCAAUGGUAUCGUUGACAGUGUGUGCGCGCCUGACCAGUGACAGUGUAGUGACCCACACAGGGCGGGAUCUAAACUCGGAGCAGUGCUAAAGUUUAGCUGCUUAGCUAGCAAGGACUCGUCACACGGCUAUGUUAUCAAAUAGUUUUUGAGUUUAAUCAACACGUGAGAACUCGUCUGGCACGGAGAGUCUCCUGUUGUGUGCUACAUGUGUGAAAUAACAACUAUAGUCUGGACUUUGUCUGCAGUGUAUCUGUGUAAACGGCUUCAUUCAGCGUCUCUCCCUCCCAUCUGGCACCGUCAGUUACCAUGGCUACAGGAACGCCCUGAAACUUUAAAAUGAUCAAUAAGAAGUUUUUGGUUAGUUUGACUGUACAAAAUCAUGAAUGUAGCCGGAUUGUAGCUCAAUGCUGAAAUCCUGUAUUAUAACAUAGAACAAAUGUAAAGCCUCAGAGCUUCUUUGAUUAUUAACAGUAUGUUAGUGAUGACAGAAAGCUGAUAACUUGCCAUCAGACUGAUAAGAAUGCAAAAGUUGCUGUUUGUAUGAUGUAUUUUUCUGUUAAAUGAUAAGAGGCUCACUUUAAACAAUAUUAUUGAUAAUAAUAAUUAAUGAUAAUGAAGAGGUAGAAAAAUUGUGUACUGAAACGUUCUGUAGAUGGUUGAUUAUUUGAAAGAGUAAAACUUGAGAGAAGCUUGACAAAAAAAAGUUUGAUUUCAUGGAUUGAAAAUUACAUUGAAAAGACAAAAAACAUUUUAGGUGUGAAUAGAACAGCUGUUCAGAUCCUCCUGUAAAAUGCUGUUUUUCAAAUAUUUAAUUUGAUAUCUGUAUCUGCCAACCUUCCUUGUGAGGUCUGAUGAGUUGGGAGCACAAACCAGACCACCCUUCCUCCUUGCUCUUGGACAGCAAAAAAACAAGAUCCAAGGUUCUACAUUGUCCUGGAUCAAAAGGCUCAUCAUGUCUUCUGGCUCAACCACAAUGACAUGCUCCAUGGCUUUUACACGUUCCUUCAGACAACAGUCCACCACAUCGAUGCUGAGACCACAAAGAAGACCCCACAUGUGAAGGAACUUCGUAUGCACCUGCUGCAGUGGGAAAACGAAGUUGACACAGAGUUGCAGCAAGAAAACGGACUUCCCACCGAGCUGUUUGGGUAAAGCAUGUACCUAUGUUUUGUUUGUAAGGAGUACCAGAACACAAUUUAUAUUUUAUGUCGACAUUUAAAGUUUCAAUAUUGACUCUACUUGAACUUGAGGUACACAUGGAGCAGCUUACCUACUUUAAACCAUUUGAUGGACAGUAUUCAAAGGAGAACAGAGACCACGGAUGCCUUGUUCCAUAUUAUUUUAUUUUGGAUAUGUAAUGUGUAUGUAUGUAUAAUGUAGUUGCUUCAACCUGUUUUAUAUACUUGUAUAUGCUUUAAAGUGUUGUCUAUAGAGGCCAGUAUUGCCUGUAUUGUAUGAUACCACACCUGAUGACGUUGCUAGCAUGACAGUGUUGUGUUACAGCCUAUUUGAGUUGCUGGUCCUAUUUUGU
Long non-coding RNA from Acanthopagrus latus (yellowfin seabream), 1999 nucleotides. RefSeq lists it as uncharacterized. Lineage: Eukaryota; Metazoa; Chordata; Actinopteri; Spariformes; Sparidae. The record is from RefSeq and is a predicted model, not a curated record. The transcript is spliced from 3 exons.